AUUGAACGCUGGCGGCAUGCCUUACACAUGCCAGUCGAACGGUAACAGGUCUUCGGAUGCUGACGAGUGGCGAACGGGUGAGUAAUACAUCGGAACGUGCCCGAUCGUGGGGGAUAGCGGAGCGAAAGCUUUGCUAAUACCGCAUACGAUCUACGGAUGAAAGCAGGGGACCGCAAGGCCUUGCGCGGACGGAGCGGCCGAUGGCAGAUUAGGUAGUUGGUGGGAUAAAAGCUUACCAAGCCGACGAUCUGUAGCUGGUCUGAGAGGACGACCAGCCACACUGGGACUGAGACACGGCCCAGACUCCUACGGGAGGCAGCAGUGGGGAAUUUUGGACAAUGGGCGAAAGCCUGAUCCAGCCAUGCCGCGUGCAGGAUGAAGGCCUUCGGGUUGUAAACUGCUUUUGUACGGAACGAAAAGACUCUUUCUAAUAAAGAGGGUCCAUGACGGUACCGUAAGAAUAAGCACCGGCUAACUACGUG
RNAcentral lists this ribosomal RNA (482 nucleotides) under uncultured bacterium. RNAcentral describes it as "partial 16S ribosomal RNA". It matches the Rfam family "Bacterial small subunit ribosomal RNA", at positions 30 to 507 of the family's 1533-position model. The record is from RNAcentral.